This 1558-nucleotide ribosomal RNA is filed under the name metagenome. RNAcentral's name for it is "bacterial LSU rRNA". It matches the Rfam family "Bacterial large subunit ribosomal RNA", at positions 1342 to 2925 of the family's 2925-position model. The record is from RNAcentral.
UAUCUAAGGUUUCCAGAGUAAAGCUGAUCUGCUCUGGGUAAGUCGGGGCCUAAGGCGAGGUCGAAAGACGUAGUCGAUGGAUAACAGGUUGAAAUUCCUGUACUAUCCUGUAACAGAACUGUGGGGACACAGGCAGAGAGCGUGAGCCGGGAAUGGAAAGACCGGUACAAGCGAGGUAGGAGUAGAGUUGGCAAAUCCGCUCUUUAAUCUGAAGACGUGAUGUGGACUGAAAAUAAGUAGGGAAGCACGUGAGCUGACUGUCAAGAAAAGCCGCUAUUGUUUGCAGGAUACCCGUACCGUAAACCGACACAGGUGGAUGAGGAGAGAAUCCUAAGGCCGACGGGAGAAGCAUUGUUAAGGAACUCGGCAAAAUGACUCCGUAACUUCGGGAGAAGGAGUGCCAGUAAGAUGGCCGCAGAGAAUUGGCCCAAGCAACUGUUUAGCAAAAACACAGGUCUAUGCAAAACCGAAAGGUGAGGUAUAUGGGCUGACGCCUGCCCGGUGCUGGAAGGUUAAGGGGAGAGGUUAGCGCAAGCGAAGCUUUGAACUUAAGCCCCAGUAAACGGCGGCCGUAACAAUAACGGUCCUAAGAUAGCGAAAUUCCUUGUCGGGUAAGUUCCGACCCGCACGAAAGGCGUAAUGAUUUGGGCACUGUCUCAACAAUGCACCCGGUGAAAUUGAAAUACCAGUGAAGGUGCUGGUUACCUGCGCCAGGACGGAAAGACCCCAUGGAGCUUUACUCCAGCUUGAUACUGGGAUUCGGUAUUGCAUGUACAGGAUAGGUGGGAGGCUAGGAAAUGGUAACGCCAGUUGCCAUGGAGCCGAUGUUGGGAUACCACCCUUGCAGUACUGGGUUUCUAACCAGCAGCCGUGAUCCGGCUGGGGGACAAUGUCAGGUGGGGAGUUUGACUGGGGCGGUCGCCUCCGAAAGGGUAUCGGAGGCGCUCAAAGGUCCCCUCAGAAUGGUUGGAAACCAUUCGAAGAGUGCAAAGGCAGAAGGGAGCUUGACUGCGACACCGACGGGUGGAGCAGGUACGAAAGUAGGACUUAGUGAUCCGGUGGUAUAAAGUGGGAUUGCCAUCGCUCAACGGAUAAAAGCUACCCUGGAUAACAGGCUUAUCACUCCCAAGAGUUCACAUCGACGGAGUGGUUUGGCACCUCGAUGUCGGCUCAUCGCAUCCUGGGGCUGAAGUAGGUCCCAAGGGUUGGGCUGUUCGCCCAUUAAAGCGGUACGCGAGCUGGGUUCAGAACGUCGUGAGACAGUUCGGUCCCUAUCCGGCGUGGGCGUAAGAUAUUUGAGAGGAGCUGUCCUUAGUACGAGAGGACCGGGAUGGACUGGCCGCUGGUGUAUCUGUUGUCUUACCAAAGGCAUAGCAGAGUAGCCAAGCCGGGAAGGGAUAAACGCUGAAGGCAUCUAAGCGUGAAGCCCCCCUCAAGAUGAGAUAUCUCAUAACGUCAAGUUAGUAAGACCCCUUGAAGACGACGAGGUAGAUAGGGCAGAGGUGGAAGUGUGGUAACACAUGGAGCUGACUGUUACUAAUAGGUCGAGGGCAUAACG